Molecule: ribosomal RNA, 253 nt
Filed under: uncultured bacterium
Lineage: Bacteria
Description: partial 16S ribosomal RNA
Rfam family: Bacterial small subunit ribosomal RNA
Source: RNAcentral
UACGUAGGGCGCAAGCGUUGUCCGGAAUUAUUGGGCGUAAAGAGCUCGUAGGCGGCUUGUCACGUCGGUUGUGAAAGCCCGGGGCUUAACCCCGGGUCUGCAGUCGAUACGGGCAGGCUAGAGUGUGGUAGGGGUAGGGGGAACGAGCAGUGUAGCGGUGAAAUGCGUAGAUAUUGCUCGGAAGGCCAGAGCCGAAGGGGCCCUACUGGUGCGCAACUGACACUGAGGCACGAAAGCGUGGGGAGCAAACAGG